GGCGAUGUAGCUCAGUUGGCUAGAGCGGCCGGUUCAUACCCGUGCGGUCUAGCGAGAUUACAAAGCCAUCA
Molecule: transfer RNA, 71 nt
Filed under: Bacillota bacterium
Lineage: Bacteria; Bacillati; Bacillota
Description: tRNA-Met
Source: RNAcentral